CUCCUGAGUUAAAUCCCCGGUAUUAAAAAAAAAAAAAAGAUUACUGGGUAGAACACAUUUUUGAAAUGUUAUGAGGGAAUUCUGCAAAAAGGUAAAGAAAUUAAUCUUAACUUUAUGAAAGGGGGAAGUCUACAGAGAGAUGGGAAUGUAAAUCAGUUUGAUUGGAGGUAAAGGAAUUUCUGGUUGCUGAUGUAUUUUCACUAAGAUAGGGAAAAGGUCUCAAUUUUUAAGGUGCAGUUAACAAGCCAGAUGCAAUGGUGCAUACCUGUAUUCCCAGCAAUUCAGGAGCCUGAGGCAGGAGGAACAUAAGUUCAAAGCCAGCAUCUUAGCAAGGUCCCAAUCAAUUCAGCAAGACCCUGUCUCUAAAUAAAUAUGAAAAAGGACUGGGUGUGUGGCUCAGUGGUUAAGCACCACUGGGUUCAAUCCCUAGUACCAAAAAAAAAAAAAAGAUUCAGUUAACAGCCCUUUCUAUUCAGGUGACAAAAACUUAAUCAUAGUGGCUUCAAAUCUUUGCUUCUAGAAUUGUUUUUUGUUUGUUUGUUUGUUUGUUUUUUGUUUUUGUUUUUGUUUUUUUCUUUUUAAGGAAAGCAGGAGUUAAUUCCUUAUUGUUUCAUUAAGAAUUCUUCACUUUUAUCAGUUUUGCAUAUUUGAAAUCUGUUACUUUAGCUUUUUUAAGGAAAGGAUUUGCUGAUGAAUUAAACUUUGAGAACUACUCAAGGACAGAGAGAAAGAUCAUUUUUAAUAGAGUGAAAAGUCUAAAAUGAGACUGGAAAGAAAUGUAGGAUUGGAACAGGUAUAUGAAGGUAGAAGGAAAUAAGUAAGGAAAAAAGCAUACACUGCGGCAAGAAGGCAUGAGAGGACAUAACGUGCUGUCUGUACUACUAUAAGUAGUAUUUUUCAACUUCAUUCUCUGUUUUUUUACUAGUGUGUAGAAAUACAACUGACUUGUAUAUUGGCCUCGUAUCUUGCAAUUUUGCUCCGUUUACUUAUUUUUAGUAGUUUUGUUAUCCAACCAUGUUAUCUGUACAUGAUUACCAUGUUAUAUUUUUCUUUUCCAAUUAUAACACCUUUUAUUUUUUUUUUUACACUGCAGUGCUACAUAGCAUGGUUCAAUA
RNAcentral lists this long non-coding RNA (1115 nucleotides) under Marmota monax (woodchuck). The record is from RNAcentral. Lineage: Eukaryota; Metazoa; Chordata; Mammalia; Rodentia; Sciuridae.